RNAcentral lists this ribosomal RNA (324 nucleotides) under Triticum aestivum (bread wheat). RNAcentral's name for it is "partial small subunit ribosomal RNA". The record is from RNAcentral. Lineage: Eukaryota; Viridiplantae; Streptophyta; Magnoliopsida; Poales; Poaceae.
AUGCCGCCGGCGUGCCCCUGGUCAUCAGGCAGGAGUUAUCGACAGCCUCAGAUGGAAGAAGACCUCCUGCUGCAAAGGAUGGAGCAAGGUGAAUGCGGCGAAACUGAUGAUUAUUCUUCCGCCGUCCGUCGGUUCAUGGCCGUCUGGACGAUCUUCUUCAGGUGUUUUACUACGUUGGCAAGCAUGGCGUUGGUGGUUUACCUCUUUGUGGCAAGGAACAAGUAUCAUGAUCCUGAAUUGCAGAAUCCUGGGCACAUGGCGUUCCUUGUGUUCAUAGCUAUUUGCAUGAUUCCUAUCGGGUAUCUGUGUACUCCAGAUGUCUAA